This 707-nucleotide ribosomal RNA is filed under the name uncultured bacterium. Its description in RNAcentral is "bacterial SSU rRNA". It matches the Rfam family "Bacterial small subunit ribosomal RNA", at positions 104 to 810 of the family's 1533-position model. The record is from RNAcentral.
GGGUGAGUAACACGUAUGGAACCUGCCCGCAGCAGGGGGAUAAGCGGAAGAAAUUCCGUCUAAUACCGCGUAACAACGUUGGGAGGCAUCUCCCGAUGUUUAAAGAUUUAUCGGCUGCGGAUGGCCAUGCGGCGCAUUAGCUAGUCGGCGGGGUAACGGCCCUCCGAGGCGACGAUGCGUAGGGGUUCUGAGAGGAAGGUCCCCCACACUGGUACUGAGACACGGACCAGACUCCUACGGGAGGCAGCAGUGAGGAAUAUUGGUCAAUGGCCGAGAGGCUGAACCAGCCAAGUCGCGUGAGGGAUGACGGCCCUACGGGUUGUAAACCUCUUUUGUCGGGGAGCAAAGGGAGUCACGUGUGACUCAUUGAGAGUACCCGAAGAAAAAGCAUCGGCUAACUCCGUGCCAGCAGCCGCGGUAAUACGGAGGAUGCGAGCGUUAUCCGGAUUUAUUGGGUUUAAAGGGUGCGCAGGCGGAGGUGCAAGUCAGCGGUCAAAUUGCGGGGCUCAACCCCGUACUGCCGUUGAAACUGCAUCCCUUGAGUGCGCGAGAAGUAUGCGGAAUGCGUGGUGUAGCGGCGAAAUGCAUAGAUAUCACGCAGAACUCCGAUUGCGAAGGCAGCAUACCGGCGCGCAACUGACGCUCAUGCACGAAAGCGUGGGUAUCGAACAGGAUUAGAUACCCUGGUAGUCCACGCAGUAAACGAU